CGGACCGCGAGAUCGUGACCUGAGCUGAAGUCGGACGCUCAACCGACUGAGCCACCCAGGCGCCCCUGCCAUCGGUUUUCAACAGCAUGGCUGGCGGCUGGCGUAAUUGGGUCAAUAGGUGGGUCUGAUGUGUCCCUCCCCUUUAGAACUCUCCAGUAAUUUCCAUCGCAAAGUCAAAGCAAAGGCCCUACGGUGCACGUUCUCCGUCCCCAUCCGUGCCCCCCUCCUUGCUUAUGCUGCUCCCUCCACGCGGGCUCCCAUGACUCUACCGGGGGUGCUCUUCCUCUGGCAGCCACAUGGUCGUGUCCCCCACUGCCCGCUGGCCUUUCCUUCCGUGUCCCCUCAGGCCUUCCAUGGCAACCUGACCCGAAAAUUGAACACCCCUCCUGUCUGCCCCUUCUUUCUUGAUUUAUUUGCCUCACCGUGAUCACUGGUGUGAUUUAUAAUGAGAAAUACACAUUUGGUCUUCAGCCCCAUUCCUGGCACAGUCCCCCUAAAACCCUUGCAGUUUCUUAAGAGCAACAAAGGUGUCUUGAUAUUUCUAACACAGCCCUUUCAACCACACCUGGGUUUAUAUUGAUGAAGUGGCCUCCAGGGAAGAGAGAGUGGCUGAAAGUUGGGUUGCUCACAAACUGCCAGCAAUUUAAUCGUGCCCAUGUAAUGAAGCCACCAUAAAAAUGCCAAAGGAUGGGAUCGGAGAGGUUCCGGGAGAGCGGCGUACCCGGAGGGUGCACGGAGGCCCCACGUCCUGUCCCCACGCCUGGCCGACGCGUCUCCAUCACAUUACAUUCUUCUGUAAUGAAACAGUGAUCGGCUUUUUCGUCUGGGAGCUACUCUUUAAACAAGAAAGUAAAAAUGAACAAGGGAGCCUGAAAGACAGCAAUACAUGGUGAGGGUAACAACAAUGAUGCUGACGGUGCUUUCCUGCGCGGCCAUUGCCCUCAGCACUCUGUGUGGACUGUCUCAUCAGUCCUCACCGCGACCCCAUGAGGUAGGCCCCGCCGACACCCCCAUUUCACAGGGGAGGAAGCUGAGGCAGGGAAGGGUUGCGGAGCUCGUCCAGGGGAUUUUAGCGAGCAAGGGGUUGCAGGACUUCCAUCCACGGGUCUGGCUAGAGUGGAGCCGCCUCUCCGCCUCUCAGAGGAGGGGGCACUGCCCUCCAGGAGCAUAGGGCCGGACCGUCUCAGCUCCAGCCUUGGCCUGACCUCCUUUGUUGAGAGACUGCACGACAAACGGAUGGCCAGACCAUACACGAGAUAGGAUUGUGACCCACAGCCUGUGGCCACCUGCCCAGAAGGCCUGCCUGCAAGCUCUAGUAGCCGUGCAGGAAGCCAGACGGUAACCCUGUAACAAUCGCUCCCAAAUGGCCAGGGCCUGACGAGUGACCACCAGCUCCCCUAAUCUGUGUCCCUGACUCUAGUUUAGGACCGACGAGAGACAGGCAAAUAUGCUCCCGUAACCACGAGGGUAAGACAGCGACUUGCAGUGAGCCUGCCUCAGCUCCCCUGGUCCCACAGGCUCCGGGCAGGGGGCACCUGCUUUCCUCGGUCUGCACUUUGAGAUUUCCCACUCCUCUGCCUGCCUUUGUGUUUUGGCCACAGUGGCCGUGGUUUCUUCUCCUUUGCCUGGUCUUCGCUGGUUUCCACAUCGUGUAAUCUUGGGCAAGCCCGGUGCCUCAGAUCUGCCUCCGCACAACGGGUCUGAUGACCGUAUUAGUGACUCCUUGUCAUGAGGGAGGGCAGCGUCCCUGGCGGGGCUCCUGAAGCAGUGCUGGAGACUACGUGAACACCCGUGGGGACUAAGUACGUGAAUGUAUGUGGGGACUAAAUACGUCAACGCAUGUGGGGACCAAGUACGUCAACGCAUGUGGAGACUAAGUACGUCAAUGCAUGCAUACUUCUAAUGGUGAUCAGUGCACCGCUGGCGUGAAUGGCAUUUCUACAGACGGGAAGGGGCUGGAGGAAAGACUGGCACUCUCCCUUCAUGGCGCUCCACACAAGGCGCUCUGAGUUUUCUACAGACUGAAGGUUUGGGCAACCCUGCGUCAAGCAAAUAUACUGGUGCCAUUUUCCCAACAGCAUUUGCUCACUUCGUGUCUCUGGGUCACAUUUUGGUAAUUAUCCCAGUAUUUCAAGACUUAUCAUGAUUAUUAUAUUCGUGAUGGUGAUGGGUGAGCAGUGAUCUUUGACGUUCCCAUUGUCAUUGUUUUGGGGCGCCACGAAUCACACCCUCAUAAGAGGGAAAACUUAAUAAAUGUUGUGUGUGUUCCAACUGCUCCACUGGCCGGCUAUUCCCCAUCUCUCUCCCUCUCCGUGGGCCUCCCUGUUCCCAAAGACACAACAGUGGUGAGAUUGGGCCCAUUAAUACCCCUACAGUGGCUCCAAGUGUUCAAGUGAGAGGAGGAGUCAUACGUCUGUCUCUCCCUUUAAAUCAGAAGAAACGAGAAGUG
Lynx canadensis (Canada lynx) is the source of this 2449-nucleotide long non-coding RNA. RefSeq lists it as uncharacterized. The record is from RefSeq and is a predicted model, not a curated record. The transcript is spliced from 2 exons. NCBI's taxonomy places the organism in Eukaryota, Metazoa, Chordata, Mammalia, Carnivora, Felidae.